AUGCCCGGGGGCCGCGCCGCGCCCGUCGCUCCGGAGCCGGGCGCGGCAGCCGCGGCGGGGCUGACUCGGAUCCGCGGCCGCCCCUUUCCCCGCCGCGCCACGGGAUCCCCGCGAGGGCUGGGCUGGCUUCCCGGCGGCAGCACCACGGACAGGGCCCCGCGGGCCCGGACAGCUCCGCCGCCCCGCUCUCCCCCCGCUCCCUGCCCGGCUACCGCGGCCGCCGCUCCGCGCCGGGAGGCGCCGGGCUCCGGCGGGGCGCGGAGCAGCAGCAGCAGCAGCAGCAGGUGGCCGCGGGGAACGGCGCGGCUCGGCCCGGGGCUGGCGGCGGGCGGCGGCCGGCGCUCCUUUGUUCUCCGCUCCCACCGGGGGGAGAGCGCAUCGCUGCGCGGGGGCGCAGCCUCCCUGCCCGCCGCGGCCGUGCAACGGCUGCGCGGAGCCCAGCCUAGCCCGGGCGGGGGGCACGGCCGGCGGCAGGCAUGCGCGGGCGCCUCCCCCCCGCCCCGGCCCCGGCCCCGGGCUCGCCGGGCUCCUUCUCCCUCCCUCCCUCCCUCCCGCCGGCGGCGGCGGCGGCGCCCGGGGGGUCGGCUGUCCCCGCCGCGGCAGCAGCUAAGCCGGGCUCCUCGGCCCCUUCGGGGCAAGCGCCGGGGGCAUCCUUCCUUCCCGGCGGGGGCGAGCCUGGCUAGAGGGGCCGGAGAGUCGGCAGCCUUCGUCCGGCCUCUGAAACAAAGCCCAGGCGGGAGGGGGGGAGAGUUAGACAUGCGGGGUCACGGAAAGGCCUCCGCCUCUCAUCAGUUUAAUACUAACGUUCGCACAGCUCUCCGAAGGUCACAGUUGCAAAUACAGGGAAAUCCUCUCUCCUCGCGUUCUAGUCCGAUUUCCAGGAGUCUAAUGCCAGCAGCAGGCUGGGCUUUCUCUGCUUGGACCGGGGCCACCGUGCCCCGAAGGGCUUCUCCAACUUUGAAGGUCACAGUGGACAGAGAGGGAAAAAUGAAGCGCUCGCUAAAUGCGCUCCUUCUUUUUAAAGCAUCUGCUCCGAUGGCAGCUCAAUAA
RNAcentral lists this long non-coding RNA (1050 nucleotides) under Accipiter nisus (Eurasian sparrowhawk). RNAcentral describes it as "lncRNA (ENSANIG00000006784.1)". Lineage: Eukaryota; Metazoa; Chordata; Aves; Accipitriformes; Accipitridae. The record is from RNAcentral.